This 465-nucleotide ribosomal RNA is filed under the name uncultured bacterium. RNAcentral describes it as "partial 16S ribosomal RNA". It matches the Rfam family "Bacterial small subunit ribosomal RNA", at positions 28 to 504 of the family's 1533-position model. The record is from RNAcentral.
GACGAACGCUGGCGGCGUGCUUAACACAUGCAAGUCGAACGGAAAGGCCCUGCUUUUGUGGGGUGCUCGAGUGGCGAACGGGUGAGUAACACGUGAGUAACCUGCCCUUGACUUUGGGAUAACUUCAGGAAACUGGGGCUAAUACCGGAUAGGAGCUCCUGCUGCAUGGUGGGGGUUGGAAAGUUUCGGCGGUUGGGGAUGGACUCGCGGCUUAUCAGCUUGUUGGUGGGGUAGUGGCUUACCAAGGCUUUGACGGGUAGCCGGCCUGAGAGGGUGACCGGCCAAAUUGGGACGGAGAUACGGCCCAGACUCCUAGGGGAGGCAGAAGUGGGGAAUAUGGCACAGUGGGCGGAAGCCUGAUGCAGCAACGCCGCGUGCGGGAUGACGGCCUUGGGGUUGUAAACCGCUUUCGCCUGUGACGAAGCGUGAGGGACGGUAAUGGGUAAAGAAGCACCGGCUAACUAC